This 816-nucleotide ribosomal RNA is filed under the name uncultured marine microorganism. RNAcentral describes it as "bacterial SSU rRNA". It matches the Rfam family "Bacterial small subunit ribosomal RNA", at positions 9 to 869 of the family's 1533-position model. The record is from RNAcentral.
GAGUUUGAUCAUGGCUCAGGAUGAACGCUGGCGGUAUGCCUAACACAUGCAAGUCGAACGAUGUCUUCGGACAUAGUGGCGGACGGGUGAGUAACGCGUGAGAAUCUGCCUCUAGGAUGGGGAUAACGGUUGGAAACGACCGCUAACACCCAAUAUGCCGUAAGGUGAAAAAUUUAUUGCCUGGAGAGGAGCUCGCGUCUGAUUAGCUAGUUGGUGGGGUAAGAGCUCACCAAGGCUUCGAUCAGUAGCUGGUCUGAGAGGAUGAGCAGCCACACUGGGACUGAGACACGGCCCAGACUCCUACGGGAGGCAGCAGUGGGGAAUUUUCCGCAAUGGGCGAAAGCCUGACGGAGCAAUACCGCGUGAGGGAGGAAUGCCUUUGGGUUGUAAACCUCUUUUCUCAGGGAAGAAGAUCUGACGGUACCUGAGGAAUAAGUAUCGGCUAACUCCGUGCCAGCAGCCGCGGUAAUACGGAGGAUGCAAGCGUUAUCCGGAAUCAUUGGGCGUAAAGCGUCCGCAGGUGGUUUCCAAAGUCUGCUGUUAAAGACUGGAGCUCAACUCCGGAACGGCGGUGGAAACUUGGAAACUAGAGUUCGGUAGGGGUAGCAGGAAUUCCCAGUGUAGCGGUGAAAUGCGUAGAUAUUGGGAAGAACAUCGGUGGCGAAGGCGUGCUACUGGACCGUAACUGACACUCAGGGACGAAAGCUAGGGGAGCGAAAGGGAUUAGAUACCCCUGUAGUCCUAGCUGUAAACGAUGGAAACUAGGUGUGGCUUGUAUCGACCCGAGCCGUGCCGUAGCUAACGCGUUAAGUUUCC